This 426-nucleotide ribosomal RNA is filed under the name uncultured Paenibacillus sp. RNAcentral's name for it is "bacterial SSU rRNA". It matches the Rfam family "Bacterial small subunit ribosomal RNA", at positions 355 to 774 of the family's 1533-position model. Lineage: Bacteria; Bacillati; Bacillota; Bacilli; Caryophanales; Paenibacillaceae. The record is from RNAcentral.
UAGGGAAUCUUCCGCAAUGGACGAAAGUCUGACGGAGCAACGCCGCGUGAGUGAUGAAGGUUUUCGGAUCGUAAAGCUCUGUUGCCAGGGAAGAACAACUAGGAGAGUAACUGCUCUUAGUGUGACGGUACCUGAGAAGAAAGCCCCGGCUAACUACGUGCCAGCAGCCGCGGUAAUACGUAGGGGGCAAGCGUUGUCCGGAAUUAUUGGGCGUAAAGCGCGCGCAGGCGGCUUUGUAAGUCUGGUGUUUAAGCUCGGGGCUCAACCCCGAUACGCAUCGGAAACUGUGAGGCUUGAGUGCAGAAGAGGAAAGUGGAAUUCCACGUGUAGCGGUGAAAUGCGUAGAGAUGUGGAGGAACACCAGUGGCGAAGGCGACUUUCUGGGCUGUAACUGACGCUGAGGCGCGAAAGCGUGGGGAGCAAACA